RNAcentral lists this ribosomal RNA (292 nucleotides) under uncultured bacterium. RNAcentral describes it as "partial 16S ribosomal RNA". It matches the Rfam family "Bacterial small subunit ribosomal RNA", at positions 505 to 796 of the family's 1533-position model. The record is from RNAcentral.
GUGUCAGCCGCCGCGGUAAGACAGAGGGUGCAAACGUUGUUCGGAAUUACUGGGCAUAAAGAGCACGUAGGUGGUGCGCUAAGUUACGUGUGAAAUCCCCCGGCUCAACCGGGGAAUUGCGCGUGAUACUGGCACACUUGAGGCGGGUAGGGGUGAGCGGAACUCCAGGUGGAGCGGUGAAAUGCGUAGAUAUCUGGAGGAACACCGGUGGCGAAAGCGGCUCACUGGACCCGAUCUGACACUGAGGUGCGAAAGCUAGGGUAGCAAACGGGAUUAGAUACCCCCGUAGUCC